Molecule: long non-coding RNA, 1585 nt
Organism: Bos taurus (domestic cattle)
Lineage: Eukaryota; Metazoa; Chordata; Mammalia; Artiodactyla; Bovidae
Source: Ensembl
AUGCAGGCCAAACAACAGUAACCUGGUUACUGGGCACCAAAGCCAGCUUCUCCUUAGAAACCUCAACCCUGGAAUAAGAAGUCAGGGCAGUGGGAUGUAUUCUUGUUAUAGGGCACAAGCUGUUCUGAAAUUAAAAGAAUGAGGUUGGUCUUAAAAUCUGGGAUCCAGUUAUGGGGACAACCCCCCAGCCAAGAGGGGGGCUCCAAGGCCCAGAGCACGUGUAGCCCCGAUGGGAGGCUGGGGGCCUCCACCUAGCAUCAGACCAACAAGGAAGCUGUUCGAACUGAUGGAGACAUUCCCAGUACAGAGCCAAGCAGAGCCGGUAUGUCAAGGAGGCUCCACCUGGGGCCUCUCCGAACAGCCUGUCCUCACUGUUUCUCAUCAGAUGCUGGACCCUCUGCUGUGAGGUGAGAGCUGCAUGAAGGUUGCAUCAGCAGCUGUGGCCAGAGGGAAGGUGAUGACCUUGUGGGACCUCAUGCUCCGGACUGAAGGGAGAGGGAGUCAUCACUGUGAAUUCCACAUCCUCUCUUGACCAGAGACACAGGGCUGGGCCUCUUCUCCAGAGGGAGUACACGCGGGAGUUCUAGGAAGAAUCCAGCCCAUCCACUUGUGGGUUGGAGGAGUGUCUUUGUGCCUGGGAAUUAGGACCCUGGCCCCCAACCAUUAGCUCUCCAUCCUGGGCCUGCAGCUCUGGGCCUCAGUAUAGGCUCCUGAGGAAUUGCUGUUCUCCGCCAGCACUUUGGGUCCUUCCUGAGAACCCCUCCUUGAGGCCUGGGAUGGGGGGCAUCUGGAGCUAGCCUCCUCUUCUUGGAAUACAAUAAAGGCAGAUACUGUGCAACCAGAAAAAAAAAAAAAAGUCCAGGACUUUGUAAUUAUAAGGGAAGACUUGAUUCUUAAUGAUAACAGGAGCAUUCCCAGGCUGAACCAACUUAUGUUUGGAAAUCACAAGGCCAGAGUGAAUGUGAAAAACAAAGAUUGACUGAACAUCCCUAAGGGCUCUGGAGACACAAAGGAAAGGCGGUCAGAGUCCCUGCUGUCCUCCCAGGCAGGGAGGUGGGGAGCGACACACGACAACUGUCUCUCCAGGAGGAUCAGAGAGCCCCUGGGCCUGGCCAUGAAAACCAGGAGAAUGCAAAGCAUGUAACAUCUCACUUAGAGCUGACGCAGAAGGGAAGUGACUCUGAAAUAUAGACCCUCUUGGCCUCUGGGGGAGAUUUAUGUGGCGAGGAUCACGCUCCUCAGAGAAAGACUGCAGGUGACUCUGAGGGGCCCAGUGACAUCUAUCUCAGCCUGAAGGACGUGAGGAGGCUGAGAGCACUUGGACCUGGGCCCCCUGAAGGGGACAGUGGCCAUCUCAGCAAUGACCAGAGGGGAUCUCUGGCCCCACAGAAAGGCCUCCAAGAACUUUUCCUGGAAGGUCCAUGACUGAGGCUGAAUUUCCUUCCAACAUAAAAGUGAUGGGAGUUCAGAGUUGUAUUUAAGUUGACUGAACAAAAGAAAGACUUUGCCUUGUGUGUGAUGUGCCUGGCUUCCUUAGUCUGUAGCCUGAGAUUCAACCUGCUAUGAGUGUCUACUAUGUGCUAGA